GACGAACGCUGGCGGCGUGCCUAAUACAUGCAAGUCGAGCGGACCAAUAGAAGCUUGCUUCUGUUGGUUAGCGGCGGACGGGUGAGUAACACGUGGGCAACCUGCCUGUAAGACUGGGAUAACUUCGGGAAACCGGAGCUAAUACCGGAUAAUUCAUCCCCUCGCAUGAGGGGAUGCUGAAAGUCGGUUUACGCUGACACUUACAGAUGGGCCCGCGGCGCAUUAGCUAGUUGGUGAGGUAAUGGCUCACCAAGGCGACGAUGCGUAGCCGACCUGAGAGGGUGAUCGGCCACACUGGGACUGAGACACGGCCCAGACUCCUACGGGAGGCAGCAGUAGGGAAUCUUCCACAAUGGACGAAAGUCUGAUGGAGCAACGCCGCGUGAGUGAUGAAGGCUUUCGGGUCGUAAAACUCUGUUGUUAGGGAAGAACAAGUGCUAGUUGAAUAAGCUGGCACCUUGACGGUACCUAACCAGAAAGCCACGGCUAACUACGUGCCAGCCGCCGCGGUAA
Molecule: ribosomal RNA, 513 nt
Filed under: uncultured bacterium
Lineage: Bacteria
Description: partial 16S ribosomal RNA
Rfam family: Bacterial small subunit ribosomal RNA
Source: RNAcentral